GAUUAAAAUACUUAAGGGCACACAAAGGAUGCCUAGGUAGUAAGAGCCGAAGAAGGACGUGGUAAGCUGCGAUAAGCUUAGGUAAGCUGCAAACGAGCGUAGAGCCUAAGAUUUCCGAAUGGAGCAAUCUACUAAGAUGGAGUCUUAGUACGAAAGAGGGAACCGGGUGAACUGAAACAUCUAAGUAACCUGAGGAAAAGAAAGUAAAAACGAUACCCAAAGUAGCGGCGAGCGAAAUGGGUCAAGCCCAAACCUUAAUGCGUGUCAAGGAUACAGCCGUUGCGCAUAAGGGGUAGAGGGACAAGAUGAUGAAGAACUGUAAGCUAUUCAGUAUGAAGUAUUGCCUAACUAAAAUUAUCUGGAAAGGUAGACCGUAGAAGGUGAAAGUCCUGUAUAGGUAAAGCAAUGCGCAUAUAAUCUUGCUCCCAAGUAACAUGGAACACGAGGAAUUCUGUGUGAAUCAGUGAGGACCAUAUCUCAUAAGGCUAAAUACUCU
Molecule: ribosomal RNA, 496 nt
Filed under: Fusobacterium russii
Lineage: Bacteria; Fusobacteriati; Fusobacteriota; Fusobacteriia; Fusobacteriales; Fusobacteriaceae
Description: bacterial LSU rRNA
Rfam family: Bacterial large subunit ribosomal RNA
Source: RNAcentral